RNAcentral lists this ribosomal RNA (479 nucleotides) under uncultured bacterium. RNAcentral describes it as "bacterial SSU rRNA". It matches the Rfam family "Bacterial small subunit ribosomal RNA", at positions 29 to 527 of the family's 1533-position model. The record is from RNAcentral.
AACGAACGCUGGCGGCAUGCCUAACACAUGCAAGUCGAACGAAGGCUUCGGCCUUAGUGGCGCACGGGUGCGUAACGCGUGGGAAUCUGCCCUUGGGUUCGGAAUAACUCAGAGAAAUUUGAGCUAAUACCGGAUGAUGACGUAAGUCCAAAGAUUUAUCGCCCAAGGAUGAGCCCGCGUAAGAUUAGCUAGUUGGUGGGGUAAAGGCCUACCAAGGCGACGAUCUUUAGCUGGUCUGAGAGGAUGAUCAGCCACACUGGGACUGAGACACGGCCCAGACUCCUACGGGAGGCAGCAGUGGGGAAUAUUGGACAAUGGGCGAAAGCCUGAUCCAGCAAUGCCGCGUGAGUGAUGAAGGCCUUAGGGUUGUAAACUGCUUUUGUACGGAACGAAAAAGCUCUCUCUAAUACAGGGGGUGAAUGACGGUACCGUAAGAAUAAGCACCGGCUAACUACGUGCCAGCAGCCGCGGUAAAGUCG